Molecule: ribosomal RNA, 338 nt
Filed under: uncultured bacterium
Lineage: Bacteria
Description: bacterial SSU rRNA
Rfam family: Bacterial small subunit ribosomal RNA
Source: RNAcentral
AAUCAACGCUGGCGGCGUGCCUAACACAUGCAAGUCGAACGCGAAAGUUCCUUCGGGAAUGAGUAGAGUGGCGUCCGGGUGAGUAACGCGUGGGUAAUCUGCCUUUGGGGUGGGGGAGUAACUCAGGGAAACUUGGGCGUAAUACCGCAUAAUGCAGCGGCUCGACAUCGAGACAGUUGUUAAAGCAGCAAUGCGCCUGAAGAGGAGCCUGCGUCUGAUUAGCAGUUGGUAAGGUAAUGGCUUACCAAGGCUACGAUCAGUAGCUGGUCUGAGAGGACGGCCAGCACAAUGGCACUGAAACACGGGCCAUACUCCUACGGGAGGCAGCAGUGGGGAAG